UUAAUUUUACUAUCUAAUCCUUCAAUUUAUUUUAUUUGAGUCGAUCAAUGGUGCACAUUGACUAUAAAAUUUAAGCUAAUUUUCGGAGAGUCGUAGAAAUAUAUUAAAUAAACUUGUAAAGAUAAAUGAUAUAUUUAAAUUUUGAAAUUAAAGUGCCGUUGAUUGACUCAAAUCAAGUAAAUGAAAAUAUUGGAUAGUAAAAAUUAAAAAUUUGAAAGGAUGGACAGUUUUGUUUUGUUUUGUUUUAUUUAGCUUGU
RNAcentral lists this long non-coding RNA (257 nucleotides) under Ananas comosus (pineapple). RNAcentral's name for it is "long non-coding RNA (ACOM_LNC018653)". Lineage: Eukaryota; Viridiplantae; Streptophyta; Magnoliopsida; Poales; Bromeliaceae. The record is from RNAcentral.